UACGGGAGGGGGCGAGCGUUAUUCGGAAUUAUUGGGCGUAAAGGGCGCGUAGGCGGCUUGAUAAGUCAAAGGUGAAAUCCCUCGGCUCAACUGAGGAACUGCCUUUGAAACUGCCAAGCUCGGAGGCCGGGAGGGGGUAGCGGAAUUCCCAGUGUAGCGGUGAAAUGCGCAGAUAUCAGGAGGAACACCAAUUGCGAAGGCAGCUCGCUGGGACGUUACUGACGCUGAGACGCGAAAGCGUGGGGAGCAAACAGG
This 255-nucleotide ribosomal RNA is filed under the name uncultured bacterium. RNAcentral describes it as "partial 16S ribosomal RNA". It matches the Rfam family "Bacterial small subunit ribosomal RNA", at positions 524 to 776 of the family's 1533-position model. The record is from RNAcentral.